AACGAACGCUGGCGGCAUGCCUAACACAUGCAAGUCGAACGAGAUCUUCGGAUCUAGUGGCGCACGGGUGCGUAACGCGUGGGAAUCUGCCCUUGGGUUCGGAAUAACAGUGAGAAAUUACUGCUAAUACCGGAUGAUGUCUUCGGACCAAAGAUUUAUUGCCCAGGGAUGAGCCCGCGUAGGAUUAGCUAGUUGGUGGGGUAAUGGCCUACCAAGGCGACGAUCCUUAGCUGGUCUGAGAGGAUGAUCAGCCACACUGGGACUGAGACACGGACCAGACUCCUACGGGAGGCAGCAGUGGGGAAUAUUUGACAAUGGGGGAAAGCCUGAUACAGCAAUGCCGCGUGAGUGAUGAAGGCCUUAGGGUUGUAAGGCUCUUUUACCAGGGAUGAUAAUGACAGUACCUGGAGAAUAAGCUCCGGCUAACUCCGUGCCAGCCGCCGCGGUAA
RNAcentral lists this ribosomal RNA (449 nucleotides) under uncultured bacterium. Its description in RNAcentral is "partial 16S ribosomal RNA". It matches the Rfam family "Bacterial small subunit ribosomal RNA", at positions 29 to 523 of the family's 1533-position model. The record is from RNAcentral.